UUCAAAUUUUUAAGAGCAAACGGUGGAUGCCUUGGCAUCUGGAGCCGAAGAAGGACGUAGUAAUCUGCGAUAAGCCUCGGGGAGCUGAUAAACGAGCUGUGAUCCGAGGAUGUCCGAAUGGGGAAACCCCGCCACGGGCUGCAAGGUUACGUGGUGACUCCCGCCUGAAUAUAUAGGGCGGGUAGAGGGAACGUGGGGAAGUGAAACAUCUCAGUACCCACAGGAAGAGAAAACAACAGUGAUUCCGU
RNAcentral lists this ribosomal RNA (248 nucleotides) under Mycetocola lacteus. RNAcentral describes it as "partial 23S ribosomal RNA". It matches the Rfam family "Bacterial large subunit ribosomal RNA", at positions 1 to 240 of the family's 2925-position model. Lineage: Bacteria; Bacillati; Actinomycetota; Actinomycetes; Micrococcales; Microbacteriaceae. The record is from RNAcentral.